RNAcentral lists this ribosomal RNA (497 nucleotides) under uncultured bacterium. Its description in RNAcentral is "partial 16S ribosomal RNA". It matches the Rfam family "Bacterial small subunit ribosomal RNA", at positions 28 to 507 of the family's 1533-position model. The record is from RNAcentral.
GAUGAACGCUGGCGGCGUGCCUAACACAUGCAAGUCGAGCGAACGCAUGAGCUUAUCUUUCUUCUGUUGUUAGCGACGGGCGGGUGAGUAACAAAUACAUAACCUACCUAUCAGACUGGCGUAACUACGGGAACCCGGAGCUAAUACCGGCCAAUAGUUUUAACCGUUUGGUUCAAUAGAACAAUAAGAUCUUUCUGUUCCUUGUAGAUGGUUCCGUGCUGCAUUAUCUAGUUGGUAAGGUGACGGCUUACCAAGGCAACGAUGCAUAGUCGACGUGAGAGGGUGGGCGGCCACACCGGAACUGAGACACGGUCCAGACUACUACGGGAGGGAGCAGUAGGGAAAGUUACGCAAUUGGAGAAAGCCUGACGGAGACACGCCGCGUGAGUGAAGGAGGUCUUGGGAUCGUAAAACUCUGUUAUUAGGGAAGAACAUAUGUGUAAGUAACUGUGGACAUCUUGAAGGUACCUAAUCAGAAAGCCACGGCUAACUCCGUG